This is a long non-coding RNA of Dermacentor silvarum, 3831 nucleotides long. RefSeq lists it as uncharacterized. Lineage: Eukaryota; Metazoa; Arthropoda; Arachnida; Ixodida; Ixodidae. The transcript is spliced from 4 exons. The record is from RefSeq and is a predicted model, not a curated record.
ACACGGGAACGCGGUGCCUGCUUUCGCUUUAGCCGUCAUGGUCUGCGCACUUAUGCCGGCAGUUUGUUCCGUUGAAUUCUGCGCCAGCAAGUGUGGGGAUGGGCAUUCAUUUCAUCGCUUCCCGAAUGAUCCGGUGCUCAAGCAAGUGUGGGCCGACUUCGUGCGCCGCGACCGAGGCAGAGACUGGACGCCCAAUAAGCACAGUGUGGUGUGCUCACGACACUUCGUGCCAGACUCAUACACGCGAAACGUGCAGUACUUGGCCGACUUCGGGCUGGAAAGAAAGAAACAGCGUCUCAGACCAGAUGCUGUGCCAACAGUGUACCGCCCCGCUCCAGUCAUAUCCAAGCCUGACGACGAGUGUGCCAAUGCUUGCUUUUCCUUAAACAUCGCCCCGGCGUCGCCUUCGUUAAGAACAGAUCCAACCUUGUUGCACAGUUCUGUCGAUGACGGAAAGUGCGAUGCGCAGACUCAGUGCAUACUGCAAACGGCGACUCGGGCAACGCUGGCGAAGACAAAGAUGAGAGGCAUUGCGAUCCAAACGGACGAACUGAGAGCUAAGCAGAUGAGCCGUCUGCUGAGUCAGGCACGUUCGACGAUGACUUGCGAGACAUGACCUGCGGAUGCACCUGGUAAUACAGCUCACUGCGAUACAGAGACGCAAGUUGGUACGACGCCAUGGCUGCCACAUCGAUCAAAUGCCUUUGGAACAGUGAACACAAGGUGGCUGUUUUUGAAGCCCAUUGGCCACGGUUGAAGGCAUUGGAAAUACCAAGUGAAGUUUCAUUGUUGCUGACGCAUUGUCUUGCUCUGCGCACUCUCCAACAAAAGUAAACAGCGCAUGAUUUGCUGGUCUAGCCAUCCGAUUCUUCACUAGGUUGUGCAUCAUGCAAUUUGGAACGUUGCAGGGUAGCAUUUGUUUUUGUGCUUGGACGCACUUCUGGUGAUUUUUGUGCCUGAAAGCGGUGACAGUAAACAUUAAACACAAUUUAUGGCAUUGAUGUAUAUCAUGUAAUGCAGGCUCACUGUUGAGAAAUUUUUUCUUUCCAUUGAACAUUUGCCCAUCUAAUGGCAGCACCGGUCACGUUUGGAAUCUAGACUAAGUGCCAGCUACACGUGCUGGCGCUUACCUCUUGCACAUAGUUUCAUCACGUUUAUAUUUUCCUCGAUGCAAGACUGCCACACCGUGCUCGUAAGCUCUGUUCGAAAACAAUAGUGACUACACCUUGGUAACCUGCCCCGCUGGGAAGAUGACCUUACCGUCUAAUGGGGUUAAUUUUGUGGUACCCACUCGGUUGGGCUGCCAAGUGUCUUUAGUGCAUUUCUGCUGCACGAAAACAUUCCCUGUCCUUUCCAUAAAACAAAGGCAGGUAGGUGGUUAGCUUCAGCUGUCUGAGAACACCAGCUGAGCUGGUUAAGUCUGUCUAUGCAUGGCCUAAGUGAUCAACAGUCGUGGAGCAAGGAACGUCGCCGAAGCCAACGUUUCUGGCUGCCCUGGCAAAAACCAGUGCCCUUGUCGAAACAGUGGCUCCAGCGGCAUUCAUUGUUUGGCUAUUGAUCACUUCAAACCUCCAUUUUUCUGUGAACUUCUGUCUCGUUUGUACAUAGUCUGAGCGUCGUCUGAAUCCUGCACUUUGCCUCUGUGGUGAAAUAUCUUGCGACACUUCUCCAAAGCAUUGAAAUGUUGUGUCGCAUUGCCAUUACUGCUCUGCUAGGAUGACUGUAAAGAAAUGGGCAACUGUAAUGGCAGUUUCUGGUGUUCUAAAAUUUGUGCUCACAUUCUGGCAUUGCAAAUGCUCAAGCUCAGAUGCUGGAAACUUGGCAAGCCGUAUCACGCCGUUCUUCACACUGUGGCACAGUAAAAGAAACCAGUGUCGUUCUGAUAUCUGUGCUUCUCUCCUUCGAAUCCCCUUCAAGUGUUCCUUCGACUGCUGUUCCAUCACCAGCAUUACAUCCUGCCAACACUUCCUAUUGCGUGUUUGGACAGCAGCUUCUCAACAGCCAUUGAUCACCACAAACUUGGUGCGUCAAGUUUUCAAGCAAGAAAAUUAUGAAGCGUGCCCCGUUGGUCAUACUUGGGGUUCUGCAGUUUAAGCUUAAACUGUACAAAGUGUGCCGAAUCUUUCAACUUGGGGAAUCUGCUUUUAACCAAAAAGGGGCGCUGAAAGCAAAUUUACCAGAAAGCCAAGAGGACGAGCAGACGCAGCUUCUGAGCUACAUGCACUCCUAUGCAAGGAGCUUGGCACGUCCAAAGCGACGAAUGCAGCCUGCCGCCCAAGCAAUCUUUACUAUUUUUUUUACUGCUGCGAUGAAAAGUAGUAGUAGAGAGCGUAAAGGGGGCGGGAUAUGCAAAGGGAUCGAGCAAGCCCUUACCUGGGUGCUUGGUGUCCUUACACUGCAGUCGACGAACUAAGCCAGUUCAAUGAUGAUAAUGCAAUCGCAUCCACCUAGUCAUUCUUUUUUUGUAUAAUUUAGUGGAACGAAUAAAGUUUCAUUCUAUUUGUGUUCGAUUACCAAAUGCUCUCUGUUGAAUUUCUGCAUAGACACAUUGUGCACAGGUACUCAGCCCUUGCUAGACUGCGUUUAGAAAACUGUUAUUUGUAUCACAUGCAACUACAAUGUUGAAGGGCAGGACCUUCACUUACGCAGCACUUUUCAACUUCACAAGUCACAAAAUUAGUGAAGCAGAUAUUCACCGAAAAAAAAAGCGGGGGGGGGGGGGGGGGGGUAAGCUCGAAGCAAAAGGUUAUCCACUGAAAAAAGCCAGUGAAGCUUCAUCUGGAAAAAUAUAUACACAAAAAAAUUAAACUGAAAUUGGAUAAAAUGAAUAGUAGUUACAUAACCAUGUCACAGAUGUGGCCAAUUGUCCCUGCAGUUUCUGAAAAAUUGUAAAUACCAUUGGCAAAUCUGAGACAUUGAGCACUAUGUUUUAUGUCUUCAUUAGUCCAAGUUUCAAAAUACCAUUUUUCUAAGUGAAGAAGUCAAUAAGAUUCUUUGCACAUGCGUAAUUGCUGCAAAUUGUGGCAUUUAUGACAAAAUAUUUUGUUGAAUAUGAUCAGUUUGGCAAACUGCAAAGCCAUUUGAACUCUUUAAGACAAAGUUUAGGAAAAACCCUUGUGAUAACCGUCAUUCCCUCACCAGCUGAACUACAAUGCUCGCAGCUCCUGUAAACACUAACGCCAGUUCCCUCUAGUAAUUUUCGUAGCAAACUCUCAUGAUCAUUAAUGCCAAACAAAGUGGCUAGAUGGCAUAGCCACCACUGCAGUUGGGUUUGUAGAGCAUUGCAUGCAUUGUGCAACGACGAGUUCAGUUCCUACUGGUGGCACGCCGUUUUUUUCUUCCUUCCAUUAUUUCUGCAUUUCAGCCAAACAUGAAUUUCCCUUACGUUUUGCAUCACCUCAUUUGGUCCUUACUAACAAUUCCAACUGUCUUGCUGAAUAAUGCAGACCAGCAAAUGCAAUGUUCCUGCGAAAUCUGAGCAAAAUAAACAUUUACGGCUUAAAUCAAAUCUCAAUUAAAGUUUAGAAUAAAACUGCAGGUCACUGUGUAUAACAGCUGGAAAGAACUUGCAUAAAAUGAAAGCAGUGGACAUGGAAUUUGAACAUUCUAAGUUCCCUACGCGCACGCCUUCUUGCACGGAGUCGUCACUACUGCUGGGCACUUGCCAAUGGAUCAAACGGGAAAGGGUUUGUUCCAUCUGCAACUUGCAAGCAGCUGAGCUUGUCAAAAGUAAAAACUGCUUGGGAACAAGUCAUCCACCAGUGUUUUCAUGCUUGCUUACAACAGGUAGAAGACAGAGUGGCCAUCAAUAUGGCAACAUAUCUCGUGAUC